GACGAACGCUGGCGGCGUGCUUAACACAUGCAAGUCGAACGGAAAGGCCCUGCUUUUGUGGGGUUCCCGAGUGGCGGACGCGUGAGUAACACGUGAGUAACCUGCCCUUGACUUUGGGAUAACUUCAGGAAACUGGGGCUAAUACCGUAUAGCAGCUCCUGCUGCAGUGUGGGGGUUGGAAAGUUUCGGCGGUUGGGGAUGGACUCGCGGCUUAUCAGCUUGUUGGUGGGGUAGUGGCUUACCAAGCCUUUGACGGGUAGGCGGCCUGUGAGGGUGACCGGCCACAUGGCGACUGAGAUAGGGCGCAGUCUGCAACGGGGGGCAGUAGUGGGGAAUAUGACACAGUCGGAGGACGCCUGAGGCAGCGACCCCGCGUGCGUGAUGACGGCCUUCUGGUUGUAAACCGCUGUCGGCUGUUACGAAGCGUGAGUGACGGUAAUGGGUAAAGAAGCACCGGCUAACUACGUG
Molecule: ribosomal RNA, 468 nt
Filed under: uncultured bacterium
Lineage: Bacteria
Description: partial 16S ribosomal RNA
Rfam family: Bacterial small subunit ribosomal RNA
Source: RNAcentral